Bubalus bubalis (water buffalo) is the source of this 145-nucleotide small nucleolar RNA. RefSeq annotates it as small nucleolar RNA SNORA51. The transcript has a single exon. NCBI's taxonomy places the organism in Eukaryota, Metazoa, Chordata, Mammalia, Artiodactyla, Bovidae. The record is from RefSeq and is a predicted model, not a curated record.
GCCAUCUUGUUGCUUACUGCAGGCUGUGUUCUUACACUGACCAUAUAGAAUCAGAAUAGAAAAGUGAAAGAGUAAACCCACCCCAUGUACACCUCAGUCCAGGCAGGCCCUUUGCCUGGUCUGUAUUGUGAAUGGGGGGACAUGG